GACGAACGCUGGCGGCGUGCUUAACACAUGCAAGUCGAACGGAAAGGCCCUGCUUUUGUGGGGUGCUCGAGUGGCGAAAGGGUGAGUAACACGUGAGUAACCUGCCCUUGACUUUGGGAUAACUUCAGGAAACUGGGGCUAAUACCGGAUAGGAGCUCCUGCUGCAUGGUGGGGGUUGGAAAGUUUCGGCGGUUGGGGAUGGACUCGCGGCUUAUCAGCUUGUUGGUGGGGUAGUGGCUUACCAAGGCUUUGACGGGUAGCCGGCCUGAGAGGGUGACCGGCCACAUUGGGACUGAGAUACGGCCCAGACUCCUACGGGAGGCAGCAGUGGGGAAUAUUGCACAAUGGGCGGAAGCCUGAUGCAGCAACGCCGCGUGCGGGAUGACGGCCUUCGGGUUGUAAACCGCUUUCGCCUGUGACGAAGCGUGAGUGACGGUAAUGGGUAAAGAGGCACCGGCUAACUACGUG
RNAcentral lists this ribosomal RNA (468 nucleotides) under uncultured bacterium. RNAcentral describes it as "partial 16S ribosomal RNA". It matches the Rfam family "Bacterial small subunit ribosomal RNA", at positions 28 to 507 of the family's 1533-position model. The record is from RNAcentral.